RNAcentral lists this ribosomal RNA (253 nucleotides) under uncultured bacterium. RNAcentral's name for it is "partial 16S ribosomal RNA". It matches the Rfam family "Bacterial small subunit ribosomal RNA", at positions 524 to 776 of the family's 1533-position model. The record is from RNAcentral.
UACGUAGGGUGCGAGCGUUGCCCGGAUUUAUUGGGCGUAAAGGGCGCGUAGGCGGCCACGCACGUCCGUUGUGAAAUCGCCCGGCUCAACUGGUCGGGGUCAGCGGAUACGGUGUGGCUAGAGCAAGCUAGGGGGCAAUGGAAUUCCCGGUGUAGUGGUGGAAUGCGUAGAUAUCGGGAGGAACACCAGUGGCGAAGGCGGUUGCCUGGAGCUUUGCUGACGCUGAUGCGCGAAAGCGUGGGGAGCGAUCCGG